Molecule: ribosomal RNA, 441 nt
Filed under: uncultured bacterium
Lineage: Bacteria
Description: partial 16S ribosomal RNA
Rfam family: Bacterial small subunit ribosomal RNA
Source: RNAcentral
CCUACGGGGGGCAGCAGUGGGGGAUAUUGCACAAUGGGGGGAACCCUGAUGCAGCGACGCCGCGUGGGUGAAGGAGUGCUUCGGCAUGUAAAGCCCUAUCGGCAGGGAAGAAGCAAGACGGUACCUGACUAAGAAGCCCCGGUUAACUACGUGCCAGCAGCCGCGGUAAUACGUAGGGGGCGAGCGUUAUCCGGAUUCACUGGGUGUAAAGGGAGCGUAGACGGCCAUGCAAGCCAGGGGGGAAAGCCCGGGGCCCAACCCCGGGACUGCCCUUGGAACUGUGCGGCUAGAGUGCGGGAGGGGCAGGCGGAAUUCCUGGUGUAGCGGUGAAAUGCGUAGAUAUCAGGAGGAACACCGGCGGCGAAGGCGGCCUGCUGGACUGCGACUGACGUUGAGGCUCGAAAGCGUGGGGAGCGAACAGGAUUAGAUACCCUUGUAGUC